UAGGGUUAGGGUUGGGUUAGGAGAAGGGUUAGAGUUAGGUUAGGAGUAGGGUUAAGGUUGGGUUAGGAGUAGGGUUAGGGUAGGGUUAGGUUACCUCUACCCUAACCCUACUCCUUACCUAACCCUACCCUAACCCUCCUCCUAACCCCACCCCUUCUCCUAACCUAACCCUACCAUAACCCAACCUUAACCAUACCCCUAACCCUACUCCUAACCUAAUCCUACACUAACUCUAACCCUAACCCUACACCUUACCUUACCCCUAACCCAACCC
Molecule: small RNA, 274 nt
Filed under: Pelobates cultripes (western spadefoot toad)
Lineage: Eukaryota; Metazoa; Chordata; Amphibia; Anura; Pelobatidae
Source: RNAcentral